CCCUUUGAUACUCUGGGCGGUACGCGCGCUACACUGGUUUAUAUAACGUGUAAUUUGGACGAUAGUCUGUAUAAAUCACUAAUAUAAAACCGUGAAUGGGAUAGUUUAUUGCAACUUACAAACUUUAACUAGGAAUCCCUUGUAGAAGUAGUGAAUUAUACUGCUUCGAAUACGUCCCUGCCGAUUGUACACACCGCCCGUCGUUUCUUCCGACUGGUACUCAUUGUGAAUUGCGAGGAGAUUCUGUCAAAUCGUUGUAAAUGCUGGGUAUUGGAGGAAGAAAAAGUCGCAACA
RNAcentral lists this ribosomal RNA (294 nucleotides) under uncultured eukaryote. RNAcentral's name for it is "partial 18S ribosomal RNA". It matches the Rfam family "Eukaryotic small subunit ribosomal RNA", at positions 1470 to 1796 of the family's 1831-position model. The record is from RNAcentral.